CCCUUAGAUGUUCUGGGCCGCACGCGUGCUACACUGAGUGGAUCAGCGGGUCAGGUUGCGCGAAAGUGUUUCCUAAUCUUGAAAUCCGCUCGUGAUGGGGAUUGACGGUUGCAAUUUUCCGUCAUGAACGAGGAAUACCUUGUAAGCGCGGGUCAUCAUCCCGCGCUGAAUACGUCCCUGCCCUUUGUAAACACCGCCCGUCGCUCCUACCGAUUGAGUGGUCCGGUGAGGCUUUGGGAUCUGAGCGGAAAGAGCGUUUCGCUGUUUCUGCUCGGAAAACUCAGUCGAACCUUAUCAUUUAGAGGAAGGAGAAGUCGUAACA
Molecule: ribosomal RNA, 322 nt
Filed under: uncultured eukaryote
Lineage: Eukaryota
Description: partial 18S ribosomal RNA
Rfam family: Eukaryotic small subunit ribosomal RNA
Source: RNAcentral